ACAGAUGUGAAGGUGCAGGGCCAGGCAGAACUGAGGUGGAGGCAGAAAUAAUGAAGGACUGGGAGGGCAGGAUUGAUACAGGGGUUGAAGACAGAAUUAAUUGCUGGGCAGGGAUGGGCAAAUAUAGGUAUGAUAGCUCCUGCACUGGGGGGCCAAAAUCACCAUACUCAGAGUAUCUGAAAGAGAGGGCAACACUAAUUAUAACACAUGGUGAGGGGGUUACAACCCCAGACUGGAAAGGAAGGGGUUAAAGGAGCUGCUCUGGGCCCAGAAGGUCCCACAGCACUGCAUCCACCUUGAAUGCCCAAACAGGCUGGAGCAGGAGCUUUAUAAGGGAGAGCAGAGUAGCUCAAUAGCAGGCAGACAGAGGAGGUGAGCUAACCUACUAUGCUCUUAGCUCCUGAGGAAGCAGCACCACUGAGCUCUUGCUGCCUGAGACCUGGCAAGAGUGGCCUGAUCAAGCAUGAAAACAAGGUGCCUCUGAAGGCAGAGCCUUCAUCUUUGUGUGUUAGCUCUUUCCUUUACCCUGGGGAAGAGAAGCCAGUGGUAGGAAGCGAUCCAGGGAGGCAGCUGCAGAGCACUUCAGGAUGCAGGUUUAGGUGCCUACCACUUAGCUCUGGAUUGGAGCUUGGUGCAGAAGCAAGGCCUGGGCUCCCAAAGCGAUCUUCAAAGAGGGACAAUUACAGAAGCCUGAUGUGGGGAACCUGGCUGUGAGGAGAAGACGCUGAAGAAAAGAGAGUCUGAGACGUGAGAUCUUGACUCAAUGUGGGGGGAACCCUGAGGACCCUGCUUAAUCCUGAAGGCUCCCCUGUUGCUGGACUCUUUAUACAUGCACCCCAAAGAGAGAGACUUGAAUACCUGACAUGACUAGAGGGCCAAGUCACUGGAAAGACUCACCACCCCAGGACAGAACAGCAGUAAAGAGGACAACCUGCCAUAUCUCUGCUGGGCAGCAGCAUGGUUCAGAAAGAAAGAAAUCCUUCAAGAACUCGGGGAUAGAUCAUCCACAUUUAAGGAAGAACAUUUAUUGGGGGUAGAGGCUCAAGGAGAACAAAUGGAAAACUGGAAGAGACCACAGUGCUGAGAUUUGAGGUGGAGCUUGAUUCCUUUGGGAGUUCAUUGCACUGGCCCCAGCAAAAAACUGUCUUCUGCACAGAUGAGCUCUACCCUGGAUGCGGACAAUUCAAUUGUGUCUGAAGAGUGGAGCUGUUGUCUGCGGCCCUUGUCCUGGAGCUGCAGGUGAUCAUCUAU
Long non-coding RNA from Mauremys mutica (yellowpond turtle), 1251 nucleotides. RefSeq lists it as uncharacterized. NCBI's taxonomy places the organism in Eukaryota, Metazoa, Chordata, Testudines, Geoemydidae. The transcript has 3 exons. The record is from RefSeq and is a predicted model, not a curated record.